Molecule: ribosomal RNA, 207 nt
Filed under: uncultured Syntrophus sp.
Lineage: Bacteria; Pseudomonadati; Thermodesulfobacteriota; Syntrophia; Syntrophales; Syntrophaceae
Description: partial 16S ribosomal RNA
Rfam family: Bacterial small subunit ribosomal RNA
Source: RNAcentral
CGUGUAGGCGGCUAGACAAGUCAGAUGUGAAAUCCCUGGGCUUAACCCAGGACGUGCAUUUGAAACUGUUUGGCUUGAGUAAGGAAGAGGGAAGUGGAAUUCCUGGUGUAGAGGUGAAAUUCGUAGAUAUCAGGAGGAACACCGGUGGCGAAGGCGACUUCCUGGUCCUAUACUGACGCUGAGACGCGAGAGCGUGGGGAGCAAACA